Molecule: ribosomal RNA, 253 nt
Filed under: uncultured bacterium
Lineage: Bacteria
Description: partial 16S ribosomal RNA
Rfam family: Bacterial small subunit ribosomal RNA
Source: RNAcentral
UACGUAGGGUGCAAGCGUUAAUCGGAAUUACUGGGCGUAAAGCGUGCGCAGGCGGCUUUGCAAGACAGAUGUGAAAUCCCCGGGCUCAACCUGGGAACUGCAUUUGUGACUGCAUGGCUAGAGUACGGUAGAGGGGGAUGGAAUUCCGCGUGUAGCAGUGAAAUGCGUAGAUAUGCGGAGGAACACCGAUGGCGAAGGCAAUCCCCUGGACCUGUGACUGACGCUCAUGCACGAAAGCGUGGGGAGCAACAGG